This 477-nucleotide unclassified non-coding RNA is filed under the name Athalia rosae (coleseed sawfly). RNAcentral's name for it is "misc RNA ENSAEAG00005011626.1". Lineage: Eukaryota; Metazoa; Arthropoda; Insecta; Hymenoptera; Athaliidae. The record is from RNAcentral.
GGCAGUGCCAGUUGUAGAGCCUAGGCUGGCUGGUGAAAAUGCGCGAUUACUUUUAUCAUUCGGGUCUUUCUAAGGUCAUCGUGUUUUAACAUUAACGAUGUAUCAAAACAAUAUUCCAUAUUGUCAAUUAAUACGUUAAUAUUUUAAUCGGCGAUAUACAAGACGAAUAAAAACAACAAAAAAAAAAAAGAGAGAGAGAGAGAAAUCAUCAAGUAGAGUUUUAAAACCAUGCUUUAAUUGAAGCGCCGGAUUAUACAACCCCUUGAUACGGGAUACUGGAUAACAAUUACCAUGAUAAAAAUCGGCGCUGGGAGAUAGAUUCUUUGAACUCUUCAGCUUCUGGCUUGUUUCUGUACCCUCUUCUGAUGAUAUCGAUGCACUUGAAACAGCCUUCGCCCUUUCACCCUCAAGAAGAAUUGGGUAAAGGUUGGGUUAUACGUGAGACGAACUAAUCGGAAUAUAUUAUAGCCUAGAAAC